Molecule: long non-coding RNA, 2425 nt
Organism: Alosa sapidissima (American shad)
Lineage: Eukaryota; Metazoa; Chordata; Actinopteri; Clupeiformes; Clupeidae
Exons: 5
Source: RefSeq, a predicted model, not a curated record
AUUAGGUUUAAGGUUAGGGUUAGGGAUAGAGUCUGUUAGGGUUACGUUUAGGAUUAGGAUUAGAAUAUAGUCAUGCAAAUGUAUGACAGGAUGGACAAAUGGAGCUGAACUGAAGGCAAGCCGAAUGAGCCCGGUGAGUCUGUGCCACUGUGGAAGGUGAGACACUCACUGGUAUCCCUCCACCAUUUUGCGAGCGUAGGUGGCGGCCUCAUCGAAGUACUGCAGGUAGGACAGCACCUCACUGAUAGUGCUCCACAGCCGCAGCUGGUAAAUGUGUGUAUCGGCCAGCACUGGGUCUAUCUUCUCCAAACACUCGCGGCAGAUUUUUACCACCUGACCAGCGGACAACAGAGUUCACAGAGUACCAGAGUUGCCAAAGGGACUGAGAUGGACAUAUUCUGUGAUGUCCUUGGAAGUGAGGCAAAACAUCUAGCUGCUUAUGUGCGCCCUACUGUGAAACUGCCAUAAAGUGCAGUGGUACCUCAUGGUAUUUGCCAUCCAAGCGAGCCUUCUCCAUCUUCCUUAGCAUUUCAAAGCUGUACUCUGUCAUCUCCUUCACCUGCUCAUCAGGCACCUGCGCAUACAGCCCAACCCCAUGCUACUGUGAUGUCUGAUCAAACCAAAUGACACCGUUGGGAGGCAAAGAGCAGUGAAAAACCCAGGCAGACUGGAGUCAGACAAGGUUACCGCUCUACCAGUCUAAUCAGUCCUAACCUGUGUCAGAUAAUGAGACCAGAAGCAGAAGAACCUCGGGUCCAGUACCAGACUGAUACAGAACACCAUACACACGUGUGAUGAAGUGGAGCCAUUGGGCAAGAAAGACAGAGGAAGAGAAGAGGAGAGAAGGACAGUCGAUAGGCUACAGGCCUUUUUUAUUCAAACUGCCAUAAGGCACUGAGAUGAACAUGCAACAUUUUGCCACACGCUGCAUUCUGUCAAAAAUGGGACAGUAUGAAAACCAAAAGUGGCAAAAUCCAUGGAGUCACAUGAGGGGAUUAGAGGUGAAGAACUUGAUGAGCGUUUAUGACAGAGAGAGAGUCAACUUACCAACCACCCGCAGGCAUUAACCAACUGAGACCCAGACUGUUCCAUCACAGCACUACCAUACAGCACUUUCUCAGUUCCGCACUUGUAUUGGGUUAUUGGCUACAUCCUUUUUUAUUUCUGUCAACCAAUCAGUGGACUAAGGAAAUCUGUGAUUGGUUGAAUCAGAGCAGUGGGAUGAGUUGCACAGAAUUGGGAACUGCAGGAGUGUCCAAUGGAAUCACCUGGGAAAUACCAGUGUAAUGGAAUGGACGUGACGUGUAUCUGUGGUGAAAGGGUCCUCCUGAGCGAGUAGUGGGUUAAUUGUGCUUGGGUAGUUGAUUGUGAGAGAGGGAUGGUAGAAAGAUGAGUGACGGAGACGGAGACAAAUGGAAAGAGUUUACAGGGAGUGCUCCAUGUGAGGAAAAGGACUGUUUGCUCUAGACUGACCCACCUCCUGUAGGAGUGAUACAUUUUGUUCACAGCCGACUGACUGAAAAACAAAACAACAAUUGUUUUUUUUCUUUAUGCAGUAGAAACACACCAGUUUGUCUCCCUCAGCUGUGGCUGUGCCAACACCCUCUCCACUCCUCCUCACCCCCCACACCCAACAACUCUGACUGAGGGACACCACCAUGCUGUGAGAAUCCGCACUCUUUGCAACGUGGGGAUACACAAUGUCUUUUAAUGCGUUAAAGAGCGAAGACAGACCCUCCUCCUUUUUUGUCGACCUGGUUGUUAUAGUUUGUGAUGACUUUGCCACAACUGACUUUCUUUGCAAUGGUUGUUUUUAUAAUCAUGUGCCCUGGACCACAGAAAGGUCGUAUUUUCAUCACUUUAUUUGGAAUGACGCAAUAAUCCUCCACUAGCAGAAUAACAGCUGAACUAACCAGUGAUCAUGAAAAAAAAAUGAAACAGAUAUUUUUUUCAUCUGGUCAGCUGUGAAGCAGAGAUUAUGUCAUAAAUCCUCUGAAACAUUCAUAGUAUGGCACUAUUUUGAUGAUAAGUGGGCUAAAACAUCAUAGGCUUAUCAGAGGAGAUGGCGUCCUCAGUCUUACAUAAUAUAAUGACAGUCAGCAUGGGCCAUUUAUAUGACAGCUGCUGGCUGACAGCUGACAGCUUUACCUUAACUAAUAUAAUCUGUUAAUUCUGUUUAUGUUUAUAUUAACCAUUAUAACAAUCUUUUUCCAUUUUCUACUGUCCAGGUCAACUCAAAUGACUUUCCGCAGUAAGUUUUCUGUUUCCUUUAAAGUUAAUGCUAAUUGUCAUCACCAGUUACCGCUAAUGGUCAUCACCAGCCAGUCCCCCCUCGGAAGUACAGUACCACCCCAACUAUCUGCGUGCAUCCUUGGAAUGCCAGACACAAUUAAGUUCCCAGUGAAGGGUAGUACUCACUUGCCAU